GGUUACUGCAGCAGCCAAACUGCUAAACGCUUCCAGCAUCAGGCAUAGAAUGAAUGAUGGAGAAACAAAAUAUGGAAGCUGGAAGGAAGAAAGAACCAGGAAAGAAAUCCCUGCAUCUAAAGACCAAAGGUUGAAUAAAAUAUACAGUCCAUCCUUAAGAUCUCCAGUACUCUAAUGGACAUACAAAAACAUUGACAGCUUGAAUUGGACAGCUGAACGUUGACGGUGCUGUAUUGCAUCUUAAGAAAUAUUGUCUCUUGGUUUAUUCCAUCUCAUUCAUAAGCAUCUGUGGUCUUCUCCUGAGAAUGGAAGGUGUGUGGGAGAAGAAACGAGAAUAUUUGACUACAGCGCUUAGGUAAGAUGAUAA
RNAcentral lists this long non-coding RNA (367 nucleotides) under Phasianus colchicus (ring-necked pheasant). RNAcentral describes it as "lncRNA (ENSPCLG00000000519.1)". Lineage: Eukaryota; Metazoa; Chordata; Aves; Galliformes; Phasianidae. The record is from RNAcentral.